GCACAGCCGCCUCUUGAGGAGUGUUGGGGAAGACGAGGAAUAGGAAGCUCCCUAAGACAAAGGCAGCUCGAGCUCUAGAUGGGCAGAGAGACGUGUGUGCAUUACGUGUCUCAAGUCUUGGAACCUCAGCAGAACACCACUGGGCACUGCAGAAGGUUCGACUGGGACAACACAUUGCUGGUCCUGAAGAAGUUCACAAAUAGCCGGAAGCUGCAAGGUGAGAACAGCCGCAAAGGGGACACAAGAAGAGCUCUAAGGGCAUCGACGUCGACAUGAAUUUCAGUCUCG
This is a long non-coding RNA of Canis lupus familiaris (dog), 288 nucleotides long. RefSeq lists it as uncharacterized. NCBI's taxonomy places the organism in Eukaryota, Metazoa, Chordata, Mammalia, Carnivora, Canidae. The record is from RefSeq and is a predicted model, not a curated record. The transcript has 2 exons.